Mizuhopecten yessoensis (Yesso scallop) is the source of this 847-nucleotide long non-coding RNA. RefSeq lists it as uncharacterized. NCBI's taxonomy places the organism in Eukaryota, Metazoa, Mollusca, Bivalvia, Pectinida, Pectinidae. The transcript has 4 exons. The record is from RefSeq and is a predicted model, not a curated record.
AAACAGAGAGCUAACAAAUUAUAUAACAGUGUGUAGCAGCUGUACGUGGUGGGGAGGUAUAUAACAGUGUGUCAUCAGCUGUACGUGGUGGGGAGGUAUACAAACAGAGCAUAACAAGUUAUAUAACAGUGUGUAAUCAGCUGUACAUGGUGGGGGGUAUACAAACAGAGCAUAACAAGUUAUAUAACAGUGUGUAAUCAGCUGUACGUGGUGGGGAGGUAUACAAACAGAGCAUAACAAGCUUAUAUAACAGUGUGUAAUCAGCUGUACAUGGUGGGGAGGUAUACAAACAGAGCAUAACAAGUUAUAUAACAGUGUGUAAUCAGCUGUACGUGGUGGGGAGGUAUACAAACAGAGCAUAACAAGUUAUAUAACAGUGUGUAAUCAGCUGUACAUGGUGGGGAGGUAUAUAACAGUGUGUAAUCAGCUGUACAUGGUGGGGAGGUAUAUAACAGUGUGUCAUCAGCUGUACAUGGUGGGAAGGUGUCAUCAGCUGUGCAUGGUGGGGAGGUAUAUAACAGUGUGUUAUCAUCUGUACAUGGUGGGGAGGUAUAUAACAGUGUGUCAUCAGCUGUACAUGGUGGGGAGGUAUAUAACAGUGCGUAAUCAGCUGUACAUGGUGGGGAGGUAUGUAACAGUGUCAUCAGCUGUACAUGGUGGAGAGGUACAUAACAGUGUGUCAUCAGCUGUACAUGAUUGUGAGGUAUAUAACAGUGUAUAAUCAGCUGUACAUGGUGGGGAGGUAUAUAACAGUGUGUCAUCAGCUGUACAUGGUGGGGAGGUAUAUAACAGUGUGUCAUCAGCUGUACAUGGUGGGGAGGUAUACAACAGUGCGUAAUCAGCUGUA